GACUCGCGAGGCCGCGCGUCCCCCUUGCCAGGCCCCGCCUGGGCCUCUCCGCUCCACUGCCCUCCAAGGCCCUCCUGGCCCAGCCGUGAUUAUGCCGAAGAGUAGGGCUGCACGAGCUCAGGGCCCGGCACUUACUCGGGAAGUGUGACUACAUACCACUCUGAGGCUCCAAGUGAGAUACUGGAAAGACCGUGGAUUUGCAAGCUGACAAUUGAAUGCUGGCUCUAUUGGGGUGGCAUCUUCUGAUCACUCAUGUCAUCAAUUGCUAGAAAAAUGAGAACUCUCCAGAAGAUCAAGUACUGUGCAGUAGUUACCAUGCACAGGCCCCAUUGAGGCCUGGCCUUUGAAGUGCCUUGUUCACCAACCUUAAAGGAAGGUCCCAUGUAACACAGUUUGGAUUAGACAUUACAAAUGGCUUCCAGUUGUAUGGAUUGCUUUCCAGACUUUGUUGUGGGAGCCACCUGAUGAGGAGGGCCGAGUGCAAGUGCAUAAGCAGCUUCCGAUCAGAACUUCUGCAUGGGCUUGGCCCAGGUAUCUUGAAACUCCAGAAAGUCCUAAAUAUAAACAAUCAGCAGUGGGAGUGAAGAGGCCAGUGUGAUGCUGUGAGGAUGACCCUCCGCACGGGAAAGGAACUCGGCAACAAGCAGAACAGGUGCCUCAUCAUCGUCCCAUCACUGGGAUCGCUUCAGGAGCAUGGAGUUGGUGAAGGGAGCCACUGCCUCCAGAAGAAAAUGUGUCACUCCAAAGAAAGAUUAGAGAAGGGGAAAGUGACCCCUGAAUAAGAAGAGUCUAUUCAUCUAAAGACCCUCUCCCAGGAACUCUUGGCAGGGAGAGAGUUGGCUUUCCUGCUGCGCCAGUGAUUGGUAGGCUAUACCUCUGUCCAUGGUCCUAUUCCUCUCCCUCAAACGACUUUAGAAGAACUCAGAGGGAGGUUCCAAUUUGCCUUGUAGGAAGGCAUUGAAGUGUUGUAGGUAGAGCUGGGAAGCUGAGAGAAGAGGAAAUACUGUGGGUACAGCAGGUCUUGAGUAUUUGGAAAGAAGUUCUGACUGUCUUCAGUAGAUGCUACCAGCAGAGGGAAUCCUGCUGGACAGCCAUUCUUUGUAAUAAUCAUGAAAAUCAUCUGUCAGAGGAACGAGCUCCAUUUACACUGAAGUCUGCUUGGUAAGAAUGAUACUGUCAUCUGCCUAGCAUUUUAUGUUUUUAAUGAAAGGCUAUCUUAUUCUUGAUAAUUUUCAUAAUUUCUUUCCAACUCCUGUAACACCAGGUGAUAUGCACCUCUUGCUUUCACAGAGAUGAGGAGAGACUAGAAAAUCUUCUCCAAAGACCUAGAUUCUUUCUAUUAACCAUUUUUUUUUUCACCUGAGCCUCUAGGGAUAAAUAAACAGUGAGAGUAACUCAACUGAGAAAGAUAUGUUAUGGGCAUCCCACAGUAAUCACCUAUCUUUUAAAAAGAAACAACAUUUCUUGAUAUCCCAGAGGUGUCUGGCACUACACAAAGUGAUACGAGCAUGAGAUUGCAGAACAUAAUGUUUGGGAACAUAGUGUUCCCCUGGGGAUUUAAAAAUUAAUGCAGAUCCAAAACCAUUAAAAAAUACAGAGGUUGGUUGUAAUAAAUUAUAGGAAAAUAAAGUGAAAAAAGUGUGGGGGCAAAAGUCCCAAGCACAAUGAUAAACCAGGGAACGUGAAAGCAGAAUAUGAUGAAGCCAAUUAAGCUCGGGAGAACCCAGACUUGCAGUAUGGGCAGAAUACAAGAUACCCUGUGAAGUCAAUUCUGCAGACUCGGUUACUUAUCCAUACACCAACCAAAAAUAAAUACCUGUUUCUGAUGGGCUACUGGCAAAAAUUUUUUUACUGUUGUUUUCUAUAGAUGGAGUCCAAACCAUCCAGCGUACAAUAAAGUGUUUAGAAAAAAAAAUAUGGAGUUGGCCAACUUUUAAUCUCCAGAACUAGAAAUCUAGUUCUGGAUGGUAGCUGUAAUGGAAAUAGGUGCAAUUGGGUUUGUAGAUGCUGAUUUUUAUCACUAACCAGAAACUGUUAUGAAAGCUCAAUGUGGCCUACUUUAUAUUCCCUGGGUUAGUGAAUGGGGAAAUUUUCAUUAGACUAUUUGUUAUAUUCAGAGGAGGACAUAAAGAAAUACAUGAACACUGUGAUACAUAGGUAAAAAAGUAUCAAUAGAAAUACAUACUCUAGGAGUUCCCGUUGUGGCUCAGGGGUUAAUGAAUCUGACUAGGAACCAUGAGGUUUUGGGUUUGAUCCCUGGCCUCAUUCAGUGGGUUAAGGAUCUGGCAUUGCUGUGAGCUGUGGUGUAGGUUGCAGAUGUGGCUCGGAUCCCACAUUGCUGUGGCUGUGGUGAAGGCUGGUGGCUACAGCUCCAAAUGGACCCCUAGCCCGGGAAUCUCCAUAUGCUGGGGGUGCAGCCCUAAAAGACAAAAAAAGGCAAAAAAAAAAAAAUACAUACUCUAGUCUAGGACAGUGUUUCUCCACCAAGGUGAUGGAAAGUACUUGGAAAUGCAGGGACCUAACUGGUUCUCAAACUGAGCUUCCUCCAUCACUGUAGCUUUCCUGCUUUAACAACUUCAGCCUUGCUAACUUAUCAAUGCUAAGAGAGUCAGUUUUAUACAUUGAUGGUCAGCUUCUGAUUUGAGUUCCCACGUGGUCAUUGCAACUUCAUUCACUUUUAUACAUAUCCUUUCACGUUUUCUAGUGUUAUAAGUAAUAUGAAAAGAUAAAAAUAUCGAGAAAAGACUAUCCCUUGUGGAAGGCAAAAAAUUGCACAGUCCAUUCACAUGGAUAUCCAAUAGACAACUCAAACUGAACAUGGCCAAAAGAGAACUCAGCUUUUUCCACUUAACCUUGUAUCAAUAACAAGAGGCUUAAACAAAUAAAGUUUUACUUUUCUCAUGAACAAGAUGUCUGGCAAUAGAGGAUUGCUGGUGUCAGUUUAGUUGCUCAGCUAUUACCAUCAAGAACCCAGGCAAUUUCAAUUUUUUUUUCAUGCAUCAUCAUCCUUAACAUCAUCAGAUCUUUUGUACUCAUAAGGAGUCUGCCAUGACUCCAGGCAUUGUGACGGUGUUCACUAAAGCCAUAUCUAUCCCCAGAAGGUUUUCACUUAGGUCUCAUUAGCCAGAAAUGAAUCACCCCUAGCUGCAAAGAAGAUGGGGAAAUUGAAUAUCUAGCAGAAGAGAAUGGGAUUAUUACGAUUGAAUUACACCACUCAUGAUUCAUCACUCUAGGCUGGACAUAUUGUUAUCCUCAACAAAGUCAGGGCUGUGUUAGCAAAGAUCAAGAGAGGAAUGGCUACCGGGGAGGGAAUUAACCCAGUCUGCCACACUUCUUAUUCCCAGCCUACCUGUCUCACAAAUAGCAUCACUAUCUACCUAAUGCCCAAACCAAUAAAAGAGGAGAUAACUUUGACUCCUUUCUUUCUUUUAGGUCCCAAAUACACACCACUAGAAAGUACUUUUGACUCUAUCUCCAAUAUAUAACCCCAAUUUAUUCUUCCCUUCUUCACUGCUAACAUCCUAGUCCAGGUCACCACUGUUCACCUGAAUCACUGUAGUUGCCUCCUGAAGAUUUCUGUACCUUCAUUCUUGCCCUCUACAUUUCAUUGCCCAGAUAGAAAAUCAUUUCCUUGCUUACAACUGCCUCACACCUAAAAUCCAAAUUCCUUCCUGCAACCUUCCAUGCCUAAAAAAUCUAGGCUCUGUCUACCUGUUCAGCUUCAUCUUUGACAACUUCAUCUAUCAAACCUUUUAUGUUUGCCACUGAGUUCCAGCCCUCCAGGCUUUCUUUCUCUUCUUCAUACUCAAAUGUGUUACCAUCUUGGGAACUUUUGAACCAUCUGUUCUCUCCAUGUAGGAUGCUCUUCAUUCUGAUCUUUCCAUGACCAGCGCCUCCUUGACAUUUAGAUCUCUGUGCAAAUGUCUUCUCUUCAGAGAGGUCUUCCCUGGAUAUACAAACUAAAAUAGCCACCUGGUCCUCCAUCACUUCGUCCUAUUUUGGAUUUCAUUUUUUUUAUUAGAGUAUAGUUGAUUUACAAUUUUGUGUCAAUUUCUACUGUAUGUCAAAAUGACCCAGUCAUACAUGUAUACAUAUGCAUUCUUUUUCUCAUUCCAUUUUCAUUAUGUUCUACCCCAAGAGGUUGGACAUAGUUCCCUGUGCUGUACACCCCAUUGCUUAUUCAUUCUAAGUGUAAUAGUUUGCAUCUACUACAACCCCAAAUUCCCUGUACAUCUUAUUCUCCCCCUCCCCCGCCCCACCCCGGCAUCCACAAGUGUUCUCCCUGUCCGUGGUCUCUUCUGUUUUGUAGAUAGGAUCAUUUGUGCCAUAUCUUAUUUAUUCACUUUUUGUCUUUUUUUUUUUUUUUUUUUUUUUUUUUUUGUCUUUUCAGGGCCGCACCCGCAGCAUACGGAGGUUCCCAGGCUAGGGAUCUAAUCGGAGCUAUAGCUGCCGGCCUACAUCACAGCCUCAGCAACGCCAGAUCCGAGCCUUGUCUGUGACCUACACCACAGCUCACAGCAAUGCUGGAUCCUUAACCCACUGAGCGAGGCCAGGGAUCGAAUACACAACCUCAUCAUUCCUAGUCAGAUUCGUUUCCCCUGCACCAUGACAGGAACUCCUGUGCCAUGUUUUAGGUCCCACAUGUAAGUGAUAUCAUGUGGUAUUUGUCCUUCUCUUUCUGACUUACUUCACUCAGUAUGGGACUCUCUAGCUGCAUCCAUGUUACUGAAAACGGCAUUAUUUUUUCCUUUUUUUGGCUGAGUAAUAUUCCAUUGUAUAUAUGUACUUCAUCUUAUUUUGUUUCUCCGUAAUGUACUGAUCACUGUCCAACAUUAUCUUGUUUAUCUCUUCAUGUAUCAUGUCGUGAAAUGCAGCGGUUUCUUUAUUUUCCAACUCCUCCACAUUAGCAUAUAAGCUUCAUGAGAGCAGAAACCUUGUCUGCUGUGAUCACUGCUAUAUCCUAGCACCUAGAUCAAGGCACAUGGUAGACUCUCAUUGACUAUUUAUGAAUGAAUGAAUAAAUGAGGGGAGAGAUUUUGAAAUGGAAACUUUAGCAAUAAAAAUAACAUCUGUAACAU
RNAcentral lists this long non-coding RNA (5078 nucleotides) under Sus scrofa (pig). Its description in RNAcentral is "lncRNA (ENSSSCG00025006629.1)". Lineage: Eukaryota; Metazoa; Chordata; Mammalia; Artiodactyla; Suidae. The record is from RNAcentral.